Molecule: ribosomal RNA, 648 nt
Filed under: uncultured bacterium
Lineage: Bacteria
Description: bacterial SSU rRNA
Rfam family: Bacterial small subunit ribosomal RNA
Source: RNAcentral
CGGGUGAGUAACACGUAAACAACCUGCCUUCAGGAUGGGGACAACAGACGGAAACGACUGCUAAUACCGAAUGUGUUCCGGAGACCGCAUGAUUUCCGGAAGAAAGGAUGGCCUCUAUUUAUAAGCUAUCGCCUGAAGAGGGGUUUGCGUCUGAUUAGGCAGUUGGUGAGGUAACGGCCCACCAAACCUACGAUCAGUAGCCGGUCUGAGAGGAUGAACGGCCACACUGGAACUGAGACACGGUCCAGACUCCUACGGGAGGCAGCAGUGGGGAAUCUUCCGCAAUGGACGAAAGUCUGACGGAGCAACGCCGCGUGAGUGAUGACGGCCUUCGGGUUGUAAAGCUCUGUGAUCGGGGACGAAUGGCUGGUAUGCUAAUACCAUAUCAGAGUGACGGUACCCGAAUAGCAAGCCACGGCUAACUACGUGCCAGCAGCCGCGGUAAUACGUAGGUGGCAAGCGUUGUCCGGAAUUAUUGGGCGUAAAGCGCGCGCAGGCGGCUUCUUAAGUCCAUCUUAAAAGUGCGGGGCUUAACCCCGUGAUGGGAUGGAAACUGGGAGGCUGGAGUAUCGGAGAGGAAAGUGGAAUUCCUAGUGUAGCGGUGAAAUGCGUAGAGAUUAGGGAGAACACCGGUGGCGAAGGCGACUU